AUACCCUGGUAGUCCACGCUGUAAACGAUGUCGACUUGGAGGUUGUUCCCUUGAGGAGUGGCUUCCGGAGCUAACGCGUUAAGUCGACCGCCUGGGGAGUACGGCCGCAAGGUUAAAACUCAAAUGAAUUGACGGGGGCCCGCACAAGCGGUGGAGCAUGUGGUUUAAUUCGAUGCAACGCGAAGAACCUUACCUACUCUUGACAUCCAGAGAACUUAGCAGAGAUGCUUUGGUGCCUUCGGGAACUCUGAGACAGGUGCUGCAUGGCUGUCGUCAGCUCGUGUUGUGAAAUGUUGGGUUAAGUCCCGCAACGAGCGCAACCCUUAUCCUUUGUUGCCAGCGGUCCGGCCGGGAACUCAAAGGAGACUGCCAGUGAUAAACUGGAGGAAGGUGGGGAUGACGUCAAGUCAUCAUGGCCCUUACGAGUAGGGCUACACACGUGCUACAAUGGCAUAUACAAAGAGAAGCGACCUCGCGAGAGCAAGCGGACCUCAUAAAGUAUGUCGUAGUCCGGAUUGGAGUCUGCAACUCGACUCCAUGAAGUCGGAAUCGCUAGUAAUCGUAGAUCAGAAUGCUACGGUGAAUACGUUCCCGGGCCUUGUACACACCGCCCGUCACACCAUGGGAGUGGGUUGCAAAAGAAGUAGGUAGCUUAACCUU
RNAcentral lists this ribosomal RNA (660 nucleotides) under bacterium LB-115. Its description in RNAcentral is "bacterial SSU rRNA". It matches the Rfam family "Bacterial small subunit ribosomal RNA", at positions 782 to 1442 of the family's 1533-position model. The record is from RNAcentral. RNAcentral also lists the same sequence under 1 other name.